CUUACGAGUAGGGCUACACACGUGCUACAAUGGCAGAUACAGAGGGCAGCGAAGCUGCGAAGUGGAGCGAAUCCCUUAAAGUUUGUCGUAGUCCGGAUUGGAGUCUGCAACUCGACUCCAUGAAGUCGGAAUCGCUAGUAAUCGUGGAUCAGAAUGCCACGGUGAAUACGUUCCCGGGCCUUGUACACACCGCCCGUCACACCAUGGGAGUGGGCUGCACCAGAAGUAGAUAGCUUAACCUUCGGGAGGGCGUUUACCACGGUGUGGUUCAUGACUGGGGUGAAGUCGUAACAAGGUAGCCCUAGGGGAACCUGGGGCUGGAUCACCUCCUUACUGA
RNAcentral lists this ribosomal RNA (337 nucleotides) under Salinivibrio sp. KP-1. Its description in RNAcentral is "bacterial SSU rRNA". It matches the Rfam family "Bacterial small subunit ribosomal RNA", at positions 1201 to 1533 of the family's 1533-position model. Lineage: Bacteria; Pseudomonadati; Pseudomonadota; Gammaproteobacteria; Vibrionales; Vibrionaceae. The record is from RNAcentral.